RNAcentral lists this ribosomal RNA (1372 nucleotides) under uncultured bacterium. RNAcentral's name for it is "bacterial SSU rRNA". It matches the Rfam family "Bacterial small subunit ribosomal RNA", at positions 28 to 1381 of the family's 1533-position model. The record is from RNAcentral.
GAUGAACGCUGGCGGCGUGCCUAAUACAUGCAAGUCGAGCGAACGGACGAGAAGCUUGCUUCUCUGAUGUUAGCGGCGGACGGGUGAGUAACACGUGGAUAACCUACCUAUAAGACUGGGAUAACUUCGGGAAACCGGAGCUAAUACCGGAUAAUAUUUUGAACCGCAUGGUUCAAAAGUGAAAGACGGUCUUGCUGUCACUUAUAGAUGGAUCCGCGCUGCAUUAGCUAGUUGGUAAGGUAACGGCUUACCAAGGCAACGAUGCAUAGCCGACCUGAGAGGGUGAUCGGCCACACUGGAACUGAGACACGGUCCAGACUCCUACGGGAGGCAGCAGUAGGGAAUCUUCCGCAAUGGGCGAAAGCCUGACGGAGCAACGCCGCGUGAGUGAUGAAGGUCUUCGGAUCGUAAAACUCUGUUAUUAGGGAAGAACAUAUGUGUAAGUAACUGUGCACAUCUUGACGGUACCUAAUCAGAAAGCCACGGCUAACUACGUGCCAGCAGCCGCGGGAAUACGUAGGUGGCAAGCGUUAUCCGGAAUUAUUGGGCGUAAAGCGCGCGUAGGCGGUUUUUUAAGUCUGAUGUGAAAGCCCACGGCUCAACCGUGGAGGGUCAUUGGAAACUGGAAAACUUGAGUGCAGAAGAGGAAAGUGGAAUUCCAUGUGUAGCGGUGAAAUGCGCAGAGAUAUGGAGGAACACCAGUGGCGAAGGCGACUUUCUGGUCUGUAACUGACGCUGAUGUGCGAAAGCGUGGGGAUCAAACAGGAUUAGAUACCCUGGUAGUCCACGCCGUAAACGAUGAGUGCUAAGUGUUAGGGGGUUUCCGCCCCUUAGUGCUGCAGCUAACGCAUUAAGCACUCCGCCUGGGGAGUACGACCGCAAGGUUGAAACUCAAAGGAAUUGACGGGGACCCGCACAAGCGGUGGAGCAUGUGGUUUAAUUCGAAGCAACGCGAAGAACCUUACCAAAUCUUGACAUCCUUUGACAACUCUAGAGAUAGAGCCUUCCCCUUCGGGGGACAAAGUGACAGGUGGUGCAUGGUUGUCGUCAGCUCGUGUCGUGAGAUGUUGGGUUAAGUCCCGCAACGAGCGCAACCCUUAAGCUUAGUUGCCAUCAUUAAGUUGGGCACUCUAAGUUGACUGCCGGUGACAAACCGGAGGAAGGUGGGGAUGACGUCAAAUCAUCAUGCCCCUUAUGAUUUGGGCUACACACGUGCUACAAUGGACAAUACAAAGGGCAGCGAAACCGCGAGGUCAAGCAAAUCCCAUAAAGUUGUUCUCAGUUCGGAUUGUAGUCUGCAACUCGACUACAUGAAGCUGGAAUCGCUAGUAAUCGUAGAUCAGCAUGCUACGGUGAAUACGUUCCCGGGUCU